Non-coding RNA from Triticum aestivum (bread wheat), 132 nucleotides. NCBI's taxonomy places the organism in Eukaryota, Viridiplantae, Streptophyta, Magnoliopsida, Poales, Poaceae. The record is from Rfam.
AAAUUACUCCCUCCGUCCGGAAAUACUUGUCAUCAAAAUGGAUAGAAGGUGUAUUUAGACGUAUUUUAGUUCUAGAUACAUCUCUUUUUAUCCAUUUUGAUGACAAGUAUUUUCGGACGGAGGGAGUAUAUA